Molossus molossus (Pallas's mastiff bat) is the source of this 107-nucleotide small nuclear RNA. NCBI's taxonomy places the organism in Eukaryota, Metazoa, Chordata, Mammalia, Chiroptera, Molossidae. The record is from RefSeq and is a predicted model, not a curated record.
GCACUUACUUCUGUAGCACAUGUACUAAAACUGGAGCAGUAUGAAGAAGAUUAGCAUGGUCCCUGUGCAAAAAUAACAUGCUAAUUCAUGAAGUGUUCCAUAUUUUU